GGAGGGAUCGGCAAAUUGGUAUGCCACCGCACUCGAAAUGCGGCGACCGCAAGGUCUUGAGAGUUCGAGUCUCUCUUCCUCCGCCA
Molecule: transfer RNA, 86 nt
Filed under: Pseudomonadota bacterium
Lineage: Bacteria; Pseudomonadati; Pseudomonadota
Also listed under: 1 other name
Description: Proteobacteria bacterium tRNA-Ser
Rfam family: tRNA
About the family: Transfer RNA (tRNA) molecules are approximately 80 nucleotides in length. Their secondary structure includes four short double-helical elements and three loops (D, anti-codon, and T loops).
Source: RNAcentral